CGAACGGGUGAGUAACACGUGGGUGAUCUGCCUCGCACUUCGGGAUAAGCCUGGGAAACUGGGUCUAAUACCGGAUAUGACCUCUUGUCGCAUGGCUUGGGGUGGAAAGAUUUAUCGGUGCGAGAUGGGCCCGCGGCCUAUCAGCUUGUUGGUGGGGUAAUGGCCUACCAAGGCGACGACGGGUAGCCGGCCUGAGAGGGCGACCGGCCACACUGGGACUGAGACACGGCCCAGACUCCUACGGGAGGCAGCAGUGGGGAAUAUUGCACAAUGGGCGAAAGCCUGAUGCAGCGACGCCGCGUGAGGGAUGACGGCCUUCGGGUUGUAAACCUCUUUCGACAGGGACGAAGCGCAAGUGACGGUACCUGUAGAAGAAGCACCGGCCAACUACGUGCCAGCAGCCGCGGUAAUACGUAGGGUGCGAGCGUUGUCCGGAAUUACUGGGCGUAAAAACUGGUAGGCGGUUUGUCCCGUCCUCUGUGAAAACUCCAAGCUCAACU
RNAcentral lists this ribosomal RNA (500 nucleotides) under Nocardia sp. BP-3. RNAcentral describes it as "bacterial SSU rRNA". It matches the Rfam family "Bacterial small subunit ribosomal RNA", at positions 99 to 614 of the family's 1533-position model. The record is from RNAcentral. Lineage: Bacteria; Bacillati; Actinomycetota; Actinomycetes; Mycobacteriales; Nocardiaceae.